GACGAACGCUGGCGGCGUGCUUAACACAUGCAAGUCGAACGCUGAAGCUUGGUGCUUGCACUGGGUGGAUGAGUGGCGAACGGGUGAGUAAUACGUGAGUAACCUGCCCUUGACUCUGGGAUAAGCCUGGGAAACUGGGUCUAAUACUGGAUAUGACAUGCCACUGCAUGGUGGUGUGUGGAAAGGGUUUUACUGGUUUUGGAUGGGCUCACGGCCUAUCAGCUUGUUGGUGGGGUAAUGGCCUACCAAGGCGACGACGGGUAGCCGGCCUGAGAGGGUGACCGGCCACACUGGGAAUGAGACACGGCCCAGACUCCUACGGGAGGCAGCAGUGGGGAAUAUUGCACAAUGGGCGGAAGCCUGAUGCAGCGACGCCGCGUGAGGGAUGACGGCCUUCGGGUUGUAAACCUCUUUCAGCACGGAAGAAGCGAGAGUGACGGUACGUGCAGAAGAAGCGCCGGCUAACUACGUG
Molecule: ribosomal RNA, 472 nt
Filed under: uncultured bacterium
Lineage: Bacteria
Description: partial 16S ribosomal RNA
Rfam family: Bacterial small subunit ribosomal RNA
Source: RNAcentral